CGCGUGCCACCACAGCGUGCCCUCUUGCCCGGUCACGUUGAAGCGGUACGCGUAGGAGCUGUUGGGCUGGAUCGGGCACUGGGUCACCAUGCUCGGACCGUCCGCCCAUGGCGUCAGUAACUGGAGCAUCCCAUGCCUGUCAAUUUCAGUUCCCAGAAACCCACCCAAUCACACACGGUUAGACACAGGUCAUAGCCGUCCUUGCCAGCGGGAAAAGACCGUGCGAAAGGCUGUAAACCGUUGCUUUUGCCCUAGUAGAUUAAUGCUAUAAUAUUUGCUGCUGCUACUUUCUUGUGUCAUCUUCUUUUUGGCAAGGUUUUGUUGUAAAACUUGUAAUGGGACUUCGUCGCCUCUGCACCCGGCGAGUAUCACGAUGAGCUCUCCAAAAGCUAGCUGCUGUCCCUCUGACAGCUGGACACCUCAAGCAUCCAACGAAGUAGCUAGAUGACAGGUCCCUCACGCCAUCUACAAGUUACAAACGGCUGGAUGUUUCUUUCUCAAAAGGAAGAAGCAGCACAGAAAGUUUCAGAGACUGGAAUAGUUUUCUAGUUCAGGAAGUACCAGGAUUUUACCAGUGGAUGGUUAAGUUGUAUGGCGACCCGUUGGUUACAUUGACGACAACCUCGUCGCCGUCGUUCACCUCUAUCGUUGGCCCAGGCAGUUGGCCGUUCACCGCAAUGAUGUCAGUGCUGUUGCACAGCCGAUUAACUCGCAUGCUCGCCACCUAACAACAGCAUUACAGAGGAAACAGUAGUCAGACACGGGUCCCUACUGGGUUGCAUGCAGGUUAAGAGAUUUCAUUGGCAUGCAUAUGCAAGCAGAGGAAACUUAUACAACUUUCUCUGCAUUUUCAGGUGUAUAUAUAGAGAGAGAGUUAUCUUGUUUCCCACACACAAGUUGAUUCUGAAUUUCUGAUAGCUAGACAGUGUAAGUACUUGAGUAUAAACUGGGCAUGGGCAUGGCCAAGUUUCUCUUGUCAUGAAAACCUUCUAUGAACUGAAUGAACAAAGCUCGUAUGCAUAUAAACAAGUUGGAGAUUAGUACUGUGAAUGUGUAGUUCGCAGUUGCGGCAUCUGCCACCGAACUGGCGGCAAGGAGAAGCACGGACGCCAACCACAAAAGCUGCGCCAUGGAAGAACACCAAGGUCGUCGAAGACGAAGAGGUUAAAUCAGCAGUGUCAGAGAGGAAAGCUAGGCAGUUUCAAAGGCAAAUCUUUGUUGGCGAUCUUGGGCGGGCAACUUGUAUAGCUUAGUUUCUAGGAAACACGAUAAGUAUAUAUACUAUAGGGAUGCUUUUGGCA
Long non-coding RNA from Brachypodium distachyon (stiff brome), 1301 nucleotides. RefSeq lists it as uncharacterized. Lineage: Eukaryota; Viridiplantae; Streptophyta; Magnoliopsida; Poales; Poaceae. The record is from RefSeq and is a predicted model, not a curated record. The transcript has 2 exons.